Molecule: long non-coding RNA, 867 nt
Organism: Drosophila teissieri
Lineage: Eukaryota; Metazoa; Arthropoda; Insecta; Diptera; Drosophilidae
Exons: 2
Source: RefSeq, a predicted model, not a curated record
UAUUGUAAGUUAUAAACGCUUCGCUCAAUAUCUCUUCGUGUAAUAGUGGAGUGCAGUCUUUCGACUGUGGAGUUGCUCGACGACUGUUGAAAGGACGUUGUAUGCAGUUCGAGUUCGUACUGCCUACAAAAAUCCUUAAAGAGGUUCGACGAGAACUCAACUCCCUGAUCGCAAAUUACUUUUUUUGGUAUUCCGAACAGGGCCAUAAAGUUCUUCAUUGCUUUGACAAUGUUGAUACUCUCCUUGGCUGGAAUAGUUUGUAAGGUAGCUUGUUGUUGAUCUCGGCCUAAAAGUAGGCACUUAAUUAGGUCGUUCUUAAGGUCGGGAAAAAUGUUAAUUAGACCGGAAGCGGUAGCCACUGGGCAUUAAUUGAGUUUAAACCAGCGAGCAAGAAAGUGCGUCCGAGCUAUCCAAAAAUAAAAUAUAGUGAUCUCUCAAAAAAUUACAAAAAAAAAGAGAAAUUGACAAUUCAACCAAAACUCACAAAUUUCGAUCGAGAAGAAAACCCAGUGAAUCGGAAAAUUUAUAUUUCGUUAACUUUAGUGCCAACCCCUAGAGGGUGGCACCUAGGAGAAUAUUAUAUUCCAAAAAAUAACCAUUGAGGCCAGUGAGGGAAGCAUAAAUUGCCGACCAGGAGGUCUAUUUCUGGAUUUCAUCAGUCAGCAGCGCCACCGUUAAGCGCAAAAACCUUAUUAAAUUGAAUUUACCAUCGUUACAUUAUCUACAUCUAUAGAUAUUUUACCUUACAGCGCUUUACCGCUUUACACUUGACCCACUGCUUGUUAAGCAGAUCGGCAACCAGACAAGCAGAUCAUCAAAAGUUAUUCCGAUCGGAAAAAUAAAUUCCGCCUUAUGUUAGGAAACUAA